Rosa chinensis is the source of this 1247-nucleotide RNA transcript. RefSeq lists it as uncharacterized. NCBI's taxonomy places the organism in Eukaryota, Viridiplantae, Streptophyta, Magnoliopsida, Rosales, Rosaceae. The record is from RefSeq and is a predicted model, not a curated record. The transcript is spliced from 2 exons.
GGGAAAGAGGAGAACAAAGGACGAGAAAGAAAAAGGAGAAGAAGAGAAGAAAAGAAAGAAAAAGAAGAAGAGACCAGGGGGACGAAGAGAGGAACAGAAUGAAAUGGAAAAGAAGAUAGAGGGAGAGACUUAAGAAAGGGAAAUAGAGAGAUGUUGAGAAGAAAACAGAGAGAGGAGAGGGAGGGAGAGAUGAAGUUUGGGUUUUGAGAGUUUGCACUUUAAAAGACAGAAAGAAAGAGAGGAGGAGACGGGAAAGACGGAUGACAGAGAGAAGAGGAGAAAGAAAGAAAAGAAGAAGAAAUAGGAAGAGGGAAGAAGAAUACGUUUUUAUUUCCGGAUGGGUGCUUUCUAAGGGAGAGAUCAGAAACGAGAGAGAGAGGAGAGAGGAGAGUUUGUUUGAAGUUAAUAGGCAAGAACUUGGUUUUGGUUUGGUUUCUUUUUGCAUUAUGCAGGCAUAAGUUGUUUGACUGUAUUGAAGGCAUCAACAUCUGGGUCUGAUUACCUAUUUACUGGGAGCUGCGAUGGAACACUAAAAAGAUGGGUUGUGGCUGAAGAUGCCGCUAACUCCUCAGCAACCUUUGAGUCUCAUGUGGAUUGGGUAUUCAUUUUCCUUCCAAUAUUUAAAUCUAGUAUUUGACAGGACUUGCAAUAUGAUCUAGAUGCUAGACUGAUGAUACUUCCAUAAAGAAAUAAUUAUGGGAAUUCUUAUUUGGUCUUCAAAUUUCGUUGGGAGUCAAUUUUUCAAGUUGAAUUCGUAAUUCAGUCCAAUGAGCCUAGUAAAUGGUACAAGGCAGAAUGAAAAAAGAAGAAGAAGAAAUUUGGAGUUGUUUAGAAUCUUGUAGAUUAUUUUUUAGUGACAUUUUUGUUGGUUUACUCAUGAACCAGGUUUUGUCUUCUUUCCUCUAUUUCUUAUUCUUUCUUGUGUUUGAAACUCUGAAGGACUUCAUGUAUUUUUCCUGCUUUCAAAACUAGUUUGGUUACUGCUUUUGCUUUCUGACAUGGCUCACAUCAGUGGACUUGUUUGUGCUCAGGUGUGUUUUGGAUCCUUUGUGUUCCAAAAUUAUAGUAUUGUCAAUUAUUCAAGAUUUGCUCAAGUAUUGUAAUUGGCAGUGCAAAUUGGAGGCAAUAAUCUUUUUGAUAAAGCAGCUGCUUUGCAUAUCUUAGCUUCCGCAUGCAUGUGAUGGUUUAGUGCUUGUAGGAAUUUGUCAUUUCAAAUGAUGCAUGCAUUACGGCCAUAUGUUCCCUUG